UACAGCAUAAACCUUGUAUCUCACGAGUCUUCGUGUCCCAUGUUCUGAAACAUCGAUCGUGUAAAAAAUCAGUGUUUCUCUCGCCCUCAGCGAUUUAUAACGAUAAAAGUUGAGUGGUUUCAAGGGGAACCUAACUUAACGUGAUUAAUUUUUGGCAUUACGGCCACGUGUGUCGCUGCCCGUCGCUGCCCGUCGCUGCCCGUCGCUGCCCGUCGCUGCCAGUCGCUGCCAGUCGCUGCAUUCUCCUUUCUCCUUCCUCCUUCCUCCCGUUCCGACGCAUGUUUCUCCGUCUCUGCCUCGUGGAGAUAUCGAUGCCGAAAGCACGAUUUCUUAUUCGCGCUGAUCUGUCUCUAUUUUGUAUACUUGCCGAAUCUCUUGCCCCAACGCGCUUGUUUAGGACCAUGGAAUCUGCCUUUUUGUUACUUUGGCCUGUUAAAGGGGAUUGAUUUGCGGAUUCUUGGUUGAUUCAUGUUUCUUAGACAAAUAUGCAGAUGUCGUCAUAAAAUACUUUCAUUCCGCAAACGUGGCUUUCGACAAAUUUUACGCGGUGCUUACAUUAAUACGAAACUCGCUAUGAUAAAAAACAAAACGUCGUAUCUAGAAUCACGAUAAGAACAACGAAACCUGACGCUGACCUUAAACUUCAGGCGGCGCAGCGAAUGGAACUUGGAAAGAGGAUCAUCGUGAUUAUUUUAUUCUUUGUAUUUUCAUUGAUUCGUUAGAUAAUAUGUCAAGCCAGUCGUAUAAUAUCAAGAGAUUUCAGAAUAAAAUUAUAUGAAAAUUCACGUUUCGCAACAAGAAUAUGUAAUAUUUAUCAACUAUUUCCACAGACACUGUUGUCUUCACAAAACAAUCACUUUUACGUAAAGGAUUAAUUAUCUUUAUCUCAGAUAUUUGAUCUAUAGAUAUACGUAUAAAAGAUAUACAUAUUCGUUCUAAUGACAAACUUUCAAGUACUCGAGCGAUGCACGAUAAGUCUCCGAUAUUUCGUUUCUUUCUACUUGCAGACUUUCACACAUGAUAUAAUUGACACAAACAGCGUUGAAAAUAUAAACUUCAAACGUCAUUCGUCGCUUCUUGCUUUUUCAUAUAAUAACUAAUAACGUAGUUACUAGAAAAUAAAAUAUGUAUAUGGGUGGUGGAUUGUACAAAAGUGCGUAGUAUUAUUCGACAGUGAUAUAGUCCGUACACUUUUUCAUUUAAUUUAUGUAUUAUGUAACAAGCUUUAGAUAUGGAAGACGACAUGCUAAUAUUGCUAUAUACUUUGUAGCUACUGCUAGACAAAUGAAUAGCUAUAUAAUAUAUGUAAUUUUAUCGGUAUUUUUUUAAAAACUAUCUCUACACGGGACUGACAUUUCAAUAAAAGUCACACGUAAUCGACUGUAUUUCAACUGUUUACCUGAAAAAGACAAAUUGUUGCUCACGCCAUUUAUCAGAAAGAAUUGGUUAAAAGACAAUUAGUUCUCUCAAGAAUUAUUUACAAAAUUUGAACAUCCAACAGCAUACAUCAAUAUUAAUUUGUAGUUAUUGAGAUUAUAAACGAACUGACUACCAUUUUUCGUAAUUGUCAGUUAAACUUAAGCGUGAAAACAAAAAUAAUUAAAUUUUAAAGAAAAGUAACAUUUAUUAAUCGUAAACGAACUAGCUAUGAAUGCUAAAUGCUGAAAAAUACUAAAUAAAAUAUAAAAUCAACUAUGAUUCCUGACAACUGUCGGCUAAACAUGAGAACAAAGAUCAUUGCGUGUUUGAAACUAACGAAUAUUUAUUCCUUGUAUAAACAAACUAGUGAUCAACCUCAAGUUCUUUAUUGUAAACUUUUUUGUUGCAAAAAUGUUCAAGCGAAUUAUUAUUCAAUUCUGAAGGGGAGAGCCCAAUGCCAACGUUAUAUUUACGUUACAUCAAAUAAAAUUUAAUAAAAGUAACAGAAUUGGGAUAGAAUACGAACCAGGGGACUAAAUAUCAGACUUCCUGCGACAGAUGAUUGUCAACGAAUCCACAAUUUUAGCUAACCAAAAAUGGCCACCUGUAAUAGUAAUAAAAAAGAGAGGGAUAUAAAGAUAGGGUACAUGGGUCAUAUGUUACCGUGUAAGUGAAAGCGACAUGGGGGACCCUUCUGUCCUUGUCUAAUCAGCCAUGCAUACUGACGCCGCUCGUUGAUCGGCGUUACAAUUCCAUAUUUACUGUACGGAUGUGCAUGCGUUAUUAGACAAGGAUAGAAGGGGCCUCUAUUCGCUAACGUUCGCUUUCGAUUCUUAUAUCGCUUUUUCAGCUCGCUCACGCACUCUAUCGUUAGAUCUCUGUAAUUGCAAAACGUAAGAGGUGCAUUAACUUCGCUUGAUUAUUUUUUACUUAAUUCGCGUGAUUUCUUUUUUAAUAGCAUAGAUAUCGUUGUUUUUUUUUCUUUUUUUGGAAAUAAUUUCACGGACAGGGGACUGAAAUGUAAAAGUGGUGACAAAGAUUGUAAAUGUUCUUCGUCGAUAGAAUGAAGUUGAUUAAAGUAAAAAUAAAUGUGAAUGAUAAAUAUGACUAUUGUAUAAUAUAUUUUUUUAGUUUUUUUUUUAUCUGAAUUUAAUAGAUUUUAAUACGUAGAAUCCAAAAAUGCAAUUGUUCAGUUUAGGAAUCUAGCGGUUCAAGGAUUAUGCGUGUGUAAAACUGAGCAUUUUUAUCGUAUUUUACAGGUUAGUAUGACGCCAUAUUGCUUCUAUUCGUAAUUCGACUGAUCCGCACAGAUGAGCAUUGAACUACUAUCUUCGCUGAAUAUUCAUUUAUACAAGCGUAACCGACAACCUUUAGCCAAAACUAAUUCAGUACUCAUGAUUCAAAAUCCCGUCGUAAAAUGGCCGACAUCCACGUGCAUUCGUUAGAGCCAGUGACUCUACUCAUUGAACGAAUCGUGAAUAAAAACCAACAGGGUGUCAAAGUUGAAGCUGUCAACGCUGAAAUCGCUUAACUUUACAUACUUGUCAUUUUUGAACUACGGGAUUCCUAAAGUUUUAAAACUUACAUUUUUCGAUUCUACGCAUAGAAAACCAUUAAAUAGAAAUUAGGAAAGGUCACAAUUUUGUGUCCGUUAAACCGAAGUUCAGCCUAUACGUAAAAAGGAAAAAUUAGCGAAUACUUUCAAAUUUACGCACUGAACAUGAGAAUGGUAGAUUAAAUUUUGUAGUUGUAACAUGCCAGGACACUGAGAAUUUCAUGUAAAAAUGGUAAUUUUUGGAUAUAGAUAAAUUAAAUUGAUAAUUCUUCAUAAUUUGUCCAUGAAGUUACAGUGUUAUUAUCUAGCUCUGAUAUGUAAAUAUAAUACGAUUUAAUGUUUUUAAAGUGUUAAAAAGUGAGAGAUUGGAAGAGAGAGAAAGAAAUGCCCACUUCUGUGGAAUCUCCAUAUACGUAUGUGUAUAAAACAAUAAUAA
Molecule: long non-coding RNA, 3410 nt
Organism: Bombus huntii
Lineage: Eukaryota; Metazoa; Arthropoda; Insecta; Hymenoptera; Apidae
Exons: 3
Source: RefSeq, a predicted model, not a curated record